Molecule: ribosomal RNA, 467 nt
Filed under: uncultured bacterium
Lineage: Bacteria
Description: partial 16S ribosomal RNA
Rfam family: Bacterial small subunit ribosomal RNA
Source: RNAcentral
GACGAACGCUGGCGGCGUGCUUAACACAUGCAAGUCGAACGGAAAGGCCCUGCUUUUGUGGGGUGCUCGAGUGGCGAACGGGUGAGUAACACGUGAGUAACCUGCCCUUGACUUUGGGAUAACUUCAGGAAACUGGGGCUAAUACCGGAUAGGAGCUCCUGCUGCAUGGUGGGGGUUGGAAAGUUUCGGCGGUUGGGGAUGGACUCGCGGCUUACCAGCUUGUUGGUGGGGUAGUGGCUUACCAAGGCUUUGACGGGUAGCCGGCCUGAGAGGGUGACCGGCCACAUUGGGACUGAGAAACGGCCCAGACGCCUACGGGAGGCAGCAGGGGGGAAUAUAGCACAAUGGGCGGAAGCCGGAUGCAGCAACGCCGCGUGCGGGAUGACGGCCUUCGGGUUGUAAACCGCUUUCGCCUGUGACGAAGCGUGAGUGACGGUAAUGGAUAAAGAAGCACCGGCUAACUACGU